This 314-nucleotide unclassified non-coding RNA is filed under the name plant metagenome. RNAcentral's name for it is "partial contains small subunit ribosomal RNA and internal transcribed spacer 1". The stretch from base 1 to 54 matches the Rfam family "Eukaryotic small subunit ribosomal RNA", at positions 1778 to 1831 of the family's 1831-position model. The record is from RNAcentral.
GAAAGUAAAAGUCGUAACAAGGUCUCCGUAGGUGAACCUGCGGAAGGAUCAUUCCCACGUUUAACAAACGUACCAAACACGAUGCGAGAAACUUCUCAUAUGAAUGUGUUCCGAAACUUGGGGAUUUGGAUGGAAGUAGUAGUGUCUUUGGAUGCUACGAAAACGUUCUCCUUCCCGAGGAGUACCGAGUCAUUCGAGAAACUCCCUUUUGUUCCAAACCUAAUCACUUUGCGAUACUAUACGCCUUAUUGUCUUUGUUGUUUAAAAAACAGAUAGAGCUUUCUUAGGACUGAGCAACGGAUAUCUUGGAUACC